Molecule: long non-coding RNA, 342 nt
Organism: Leguminivora glycinivorella
Lineage: Eukaryota; Metazoa; Arthropoda; Insecta; Lepidoptera; Tortricidae
Exons: 2
Source: RefSeq, a predicted model, not a curated record
CCAGUUAUUUAUGUAAAGAAAAUAUAUUUCUUUAAUCUAUUGCUCAGUGCUGAACGCCGGUGAGCAGUGACAGGUUGCAUACAGAAUAGCAUAGAUGGCGCUAUUCAUAACAGCGUUCUGCGCAGUCGUUAAAAUAGAACGGUUGCUAGGUGAUAGAAUAUAACUCGUUAUGUCACGUAUGUCAUGGAAAUGCAAAUUGUACAACAAUAAAUAAGAUAAUAAAUAAUAUAAAAAGGAAUUGUAAGAAAUAGACUUAAAAUGUCGUUUCUCUAAUUUCAGAGCAACGUCAUUGUUUAUUUCAAGUUCUAGUAAAAUAGACACUUAACGGUCUUAUAUUUAUAU